GCCCGAAAGUAGGAGGAGCUAUAAGGGGCCACUGCUAAGAUUGCAGAGGCCAAGAAGAAAGUCGAGGACCGGGUCGUCGAGGCCAAGCAGGAGGCUGAGGGAAGGAUUGUUGAGGCCUGUCGAUCGAUCAUGGAGGCUUUUAAGAUUUUAGCAAACUUUCAGCAGGAGAAGGCCUAGGUGGUUGAUAGCUUCAAGGCAUCAGAGGAAUAUCAUGAUGCCAUAGUCGCAUUAAGUCAGGAGUCCUUCAAUAUGGGGCACG
Molecule: long non-coding RNA, 259 nt
Filed under: Elaeis guineensis (African oil palm)
Lineage: Eukaryota; Viridiplantae; Streptophyta; Magnoliopsida; Arecales; Arecaceae
Description: long non-coding RNA (EGUI_LNC067421)
Source: RNAcentral